GACGAACGCUUGCGGCGUGCUUAACACAUGCAAGUCGAACGGAAAGGCCCUGCUUUUGUGGGGUGCUCGAGUGGCGAACGGGUGAGUAACACGUGAGUAACCUGCCCUUGACUUUGGGAUAACUUCAGGAAACUGGGGCUAAUACCGGAUAGGAGCUCCUGCUGCAUGGUGGGGGUUGGAAAGUUUCGGCGGUUGGGGAUGGACUCGCGGCUUAUCAGCUUGUUGGUGGGGUAGUGGCUUACCAAGGCUUUGACGGGUAGCCGGCCUGAGAGGGUGACCGGCCACAUUGGGACUGAGAUACGGCCCAGACUCCUACGGGAGGCAGCAGUGGGGAAUAUUGCACAAUGGGCGGAAGCCUGAUGCAGCAACGCCGCGUGCGGGAUGACGGCCUUCGGGUUGUAAACCGCUUUCGUCUGUGACGAAGCGUGAGUGACGGUAAUGGGUAAAGAAGCACCGGCUAACUACGUGCCAGCAGCCGCGGUGAUACGUAGGGUGCGAGCGUUGUCCGGAUUUAUUGGGCGUAAAGGGCUCGUAGGUGGUUGAUCGCGUCGGAAGUGUAAUCUUGGGGCUUAACCCUGAGCGUGCUUUCGAUACGGGUUGACUUGAGGAAGGUAGGGGAGAAUGGAAUUCCUGGUGGAGCGGUGGAAUGCGCAGAUAUCAGGAGGAACACCAGUGGCGAAGGCGGUUCUCUGGGCCUUUCCUGACGCUGAGGAGCGAAAGCGUGGGGAGCGAACAGGCUUAGAUACCCUGGUAGUCCACGCUGUAAACGGUGGGUACUAGGUGUGGGGUCCAUUCCACGGGUUCCGUGCCGUAGCUAACGCUUUAAGUACCCCGCCUGGGGAGUACGGCCGCAAGGCUAACACUCAAAGGAAUUGACGGGGCCCCGCACAAGCGGCGGAGCAUGCGGAUUAAUUCGAUGCAACGCGUAGAACCUUACCUGGGUUUGACAUGGAUCGGGAGUGCUCAGAGAUGGGUGUGCCUCUUUUGGGGUCGGUUCACAGGUGGUGCAUGCCUGUCGUCAGCUCGUGUCGUGAGAUGUUGGGUUAAGUCCCGCAACGAGCGCAACCCUUGUUCACUGUUGCCAGCACGUUAUGGUGGGGACUCAGUGGAGACCGCCGGGGUCAACUCGGAGGAAGGUGGGGAUGACGUCAAGUCAUCAUGCCCCUUAUGUCCAGGGCUUCACGCAUGCUACAAUGGCUGGUACAGAGAGUGGCGAGCCUGUGAGGGUGAGCGAAUCUCGGAAAGCCGGUCUCAGUUCGGAUUGGGGUCUGCAACUCGACCUCAUGAAGUCGGAGUCGCUAGUAAUCGCAGAUCAGCAACGCUGCGGUGAAUACGUUCCCGGG
This 1343-nucleotide ribosomal RNA is filed under the name uncultured bacterium. RNAcentral describes it as "16S ribosomal RNA". It matches the Rfam family "Bacterial small subunit ribosomal RNA", at positions 28 to 1378 of the family's 1533-position model. The record is from RNAcentral.